AAGGCGGACGACUGAUUUCUUUCGAAUUCUCAUUGCAAAGCGGCCGGCGAGAUCGCUCUUUGUCGGGGAAAUGGAAGGCGUGGACGCCGACCUCAACGCCUGGAGUUUCCUAGCUGUGGCUCGCCAGCUCGUCGUCACGGAAAUUGUGAGUUGUUUAAAGCUGACAUCGCUGAUCUGGUAUUGUUCGUCGAUCGGUGCUCAUGGUAAAGGGGAAUUAGGGGUUUUUGAUCUUCUUCAUCUAAUUUCUUAAAUCACCGCCUUUCGGAAUUUGCGGCUUUGCUCGCCUGUUUCGGGCGAUUUGGUGGUGAAAUUAAUAGGAUUCUUUGACCUACACCACAUUUACUUUGUUUUCCUUGCAUACGAUAGUGUUUUCGCUUCUGAUGAAGGAGGCGGGGGAUUCAAGGUUUUCAGAUUAAUAUGCGCUUCUGUUUGUUUGAAUCGUUAAACCAACAUUUUCAGCUUUCCCUUUGCAGUUUCUUGAUCUUCUUUGGGUGGAUAUGGAAUUAGAAUCCCUAUUCAUUUUGUUGUGUUUCUACACUAGCAGCUUCAGUUAUAAUUUUGCUGGAGUCUGGUGGAUCCAUAAUUGGGAGACAAUAUGCGUGCUAAAAUGCUCUGAAUGAAUUUGUUCAUGUCAUUUCAUUGGCUCAUUAAAUAAAAAAAAAAAUACAUAAAUUACUGUCGAAUUGCCCAGCUCUGUGUUCUUUGGGGCUUCAGCCUUGGCUUAGAACCAUGUAUCCCACUCAGAUUGGCCUUGGUCUAGAUUUAUAAGGUACAACAAAGGUACUUUUUUUUCUUUGAAUUGGGGUGAUUUUCUUAAUAUCUGAAUACUUUUGUGUUUGUGCACACAAACUUUGAUUGUUUAA
Molecule: long non-coding RNA, 863 nt
Organism: Zingiber officinale
Lineage: Eukaryota; Viridiplantae; Streptophyta; Magnoliopsida; Zingiberales; Zingiberaceae
Exons: 2
Source: RefSeq, a predicted model, not a curated record